UGCUGACAGGCUGUUGGAUGCCUUGAGUCCUAUGUUAACGAAAUUUCUAAAUUACACAUUAAAUCGUCUCACGUACUCUAAGCUAGAGAUGGGUCCAUCACGUGUGCCACCUCUUCAACAUUCCUUUUUCUUUUUUCUUAUAAAAUUUUCCAGCGCUAUAUUUCCUUUGCCGACUGAUGAAACGAUUGUCAUCCGCACAUGAAUAUGGAUCGUGGACCAUAUGCUU
This 226-nucleotide long non-coding RNA is filed under the name Lathyrus oleraceus (garden pea). Its description in RNAcentral is "Pisum sativum (pea) long non-coding RNA (PSAT_LNC008432)". Lineage: Eukaryota; Viridiplantae; Streptophyta; Magnoliopsida; Fabales; Fabaceae. The record is from RNAcentral.